CAGGUGCUGCAUGGCUGUCGUCAGCUCGUGUCGUGAGAUGUUGGGUUAAGUCCCGCAACAAGCGCAACCCCUAUCUUCAGUUACCAUCAUUAAGUUGGGGACUCUGGAGAUACUGCCCCGGUCAACGGGGAGGAAGGUGGGGAUGACGUCAAGUCCUCAUGGCCUUUAUGUCCAGGGCUACACACGCGCUACAAUGGUCAGUACAAAGGGUAGCAAGCCUGCGAGGGUGAGCCAAUCCCAUAAAGCUGAUCUCAGUUCGGAUUGGAGUCUGCAACUCGACUCCAUGAAGCUGGAAUCGCUAGUAAUCGUGGAUCAGCAUGCCACGGUGAAUACGUUCCCGGGCCUUGUACACACCGCCCGUCACACCAUGAGAGUUGGUUGUACCAGAAGUCGUUGGGCCAACCCCGUAAGGGGGGGUAGGCGCCUAAGGUAUGGCUGAUAAUUGGGGUGAAGUCGUAACAAGGUAGCCG
RNAcentral lists this ribosomal RNA (470 nucleotides) under uncultured bacterium. RNAcentral's name for it is "bacterial SSU rRNA". It matches the Rfam family "Bacterial small subunit ribosomal RNA", at positions 1035 to 1502 of the family's 1533-position model. The record is from RNAcentral.